UCGUUUCCCCUUCCCACUCUCCCGAUUCAGAUCGGGAUCCCUCCAACACCACCGGCUCCCUCCUCUGUACCUGGCUGCCGCACCCCAUGUUUCUCUCCCUUCCAUAUCCGGCGAAGAAACCCCCUGGACGCCCUCGUCUUCGUCCCUUCCCUUCAUCUCCCUCUACCGCCAACCAGCGCUGCGAUCCUCUCCCCACCGCCACCAACAGGUGUCGAUCAGCUCGUCUUUGAUGGAUCUUGGCUGGGAAGUGGUGGCCUCAAGCUCAACUCCAGCUCGGCGAUGACGGCAACGUGCUCACUGCAGGUGACAAAAACGAGGGGCUUCAGCCCAACUGCCUCUACAUCAACAAGAUCCAUCGUGCCGCCAGUGCCCGACCACCCUGGGAACUUGCCCGGGCUGCUGCCUACGCGUACGCUAUAGGAUGUCUUGCCACAGCUGGAAAAAAUAUAGUUAUUUCCCGGGCAAAAUUGUGUUGGGCUGGCUUCCUUUGGUAAUGGGUUUGGUAAGAGCUAGGCCUAGCAAGCGAACGUAGGUUCGGCUAUUCAUUAAUCGCCGUUUCUGUUUGCUGGACGCUCACCUCCCCCCGGCGCCUGUUCGGCUGUGUAUCGCAUGGAAACGGACUAGCGUCGGUGAGCCGAGGUUGGCCUUGUCCUAGGCGCGCGGCCGGCGGCGGGAUGAGAAGAUCCUCGGAAAGGCAGGAACACCAUGUAUACUCGCCUACUUGUUCCUUCCUUCCUAAUGAGAUUAGGUAAGAUUCCUAACUGAUGGGGUUAUCUGGAUAGACUUGGGGCUUAAAUUUUGAUGCCAUGUCAUUGGAAAUUAUUCAAGUUUGUUGAUGAUAAGAAUACUAAUCGAACAUUUAUGCAAUGAAGUAGCAGAAAUGACAUUUGCUUCAUAAUUUUCUUUAGCACCCUAUUCGUAUGUCCCAUACAAUUUUUAUUCCAAAUCCUUUUUUAUCCAGUAAAUAUUUUUUAGGAAAAUUGGAUGGUAAUUUGGAUAGCUAUACUUUUGCUUGCAACAAUACGAGUUUGAUUCUAUGCACAUGGCCUUCUAUAACUUUUAUUGUCAAGUCUCAAAUUUAUUUGGUCUAUGAAACUGAAUAUCGUUAUAUUAAAUAUAAGUUCACUUGAAAUUACAUUUUUAUAACUUCAUUUUCACUUCGUUACUAAUGUGAAUUUGUGGUUCGGAAGUUUGGGACUAUUUUAUACGGUAUAUUAUAUGUGUCUCAACAUCCAAUUUUGGCAAGGCUCCACAAAAGUUCUGCCUCCGCCACUGCGCCGUGGGCUUCGCCCUUCACCACCGCGAGUUGAGGAGGAGCACCAUCACCUCGGCUGUCUACUCGCAGAUGAGGUACGUUACGUGGCCAUGGUACGUGAUCCAUAUCAGUGGUAAAUUUUACGAUAUACAAUAGGCAUAUACAUUACGGAGUGUGGUGUACUUGGACCAUUCAUCCAGAAAAACCCUGUAUACAUUACAGAGCAUCGAACUUCUUUGAGAUUAAUACUGUAAAUCACGGAGUAUGCUUUCUUAUAUAUCAUGGACGCAAUCUUAGCACCAUAUGAAUCAUCAGUUAUAAGAUAUUAUUGAUAUGAUCUUGAUGGCGGUGGACAACAUCGGUGGAUCGGAGGGCAAUGGUGAGGGUUGCGAUUCGUUCUUCUUUGGCUAGGACAAAUAUUUCAAUCUUGGAACAGAGGAAGGAAGACACAAGUUGGUCCGUCCAACGACGGCCUUUGAAUUUUUUGUACAGAUGAUGAUGUCCGUGGCUCCAUCGCUGGCGGUGGUCACAAUGCGCAGCCGUAGGAAUGGACAAUAGACAAGCCAACAUGUACUCAGGUACAUCAUUCGUUCGUACCCCCUCCCAUCGAUCGAUCACACCUCCCCCAAUGUUUUACACUGUCAAAUGAAGACGUCACCAGGCCCUCGCACCCACUGUCGGCCUCCUCCCCCCACGCACUGCUCUGGCGCCAGCCUCUCCUGCGUACCUCCUUACCCCCGCCGGACGACCACGACACGUGCCCCACCGCCGCCAAGUGCCUCGGUGACGAUGAUGCCCAUUGGUAAGUUCAACCACGGCGGCGCCUUCCAACUCACUGUCCAUGCGCUGGACCUCCUUGCGGCCUACACUCUCGUUCCUCUUCGGCAACUUGUCCAAGUCCGAGCUCGCGGGCAUCACCGAGAAUACCAAGUUCGGCUAUGGCGUCGUCGUCAUCUCCAUAGUCGACGCACCCCUCAGGUUUGGGGUCUCCGCCAGGGGCACGCAGGACUAUAGGAAGGCCGACACCAAUGCUCUGGUGGUGCUCCACCAGUCUAACACUGGUGAGUACCUUUGCAAGGAGGAGGAGCUCAUGUGAGGUCAGAUUCAUCGUUAAGACAAGCCCAAUUUAAGUGAGGGUGAGUACCGAUCUGGGUUGGGCACAAUCUCCUCGAGGGCGGCACCAAGGUUCACUACCUAAAGAAGACCGAUGUAGUAAUUGACAUCGUAGAUAACUGGGUGAAGGUGUUCAAUGAAGGAGAUUCAGAGUCAUCAGUGUAGUAUGGAAACGAUGCACAUGCUGUCAUGGUAGUAGUUGAGGUGGUGUAUAUAUCAAGUGAUCUAUUCUAUAGGCAUUUUCUUUAGGUGUGAUGUUUGAUUUUAAGCAAAUCACGCUUGUUGUAUAAGUUUCUGCCCAUAAUGAUUUGCAGCGAACCUGGAGUGCGGCUUGAUCCAAUGGCUCGAUUGGAGCACUCAAUUGUGAUGAAGCUGUAAACUAGACUUGGUCAGCAGAAAAAAAAUUAGACGUUGCCACCAACAUUAAA
Molecule: long non-coding RNA, 2796 nt
Organism: Aegilops tauschii subsp. strangulata
Lineage: Eukaryota; Viridiplantae; Streptophyta; Magnoliopsida; Poales; Poaceae
Source: RefSeq, a predicted model, not a curated record